UAUUUCUUCUAAACAGACUGAUCUGGAUGUUUACGUUCUGCAGAUUUAUCUGAACCAAUCACAGAGCUUCACUGUUUUAAUGAAUCAGAUUAAAAUUAUUCCUGACUUGAUAACUUUCAGCCUCAUAACUGUAAUUUGUUUUACAGUUGCUGUAAAACCAGAGAGCAGAGGAAGUUCAUCUGGAUCAAACUCUGAGCGAACCACCAAUGAUACAUCCACUCUGAAAGGUUUCUACCAGAACCUCAGCCCGGCCACCAGAGACCAGAACCAGAUCUACUGCACUCUGGAGAACUGAAAUAAGAUCCUGAAUUCUGUUUCUGAGCCUCAGGAAUUAAAAGUUUUUCACCUGAAAUCUGAAGAAAACUGAAAAUGAACAAUAAAGUUUUGAAUAAAUCAACUUAAAGCCAAA
Poecilia latipinna (sailfin molly) is the source of this 409-nucleotide long non-coding RNA. RefSeq lists it as uncharacterized. Lineage: Eukaryota; Metazoa; Chordata; Actinopteri; Cyprinodontiformes; Poeciliidae. The transcript is spliced from 2 exons. The record is from RefSeq and is a predicted model, not a curated record.